UGGGGCAGCUACCAUGCAGUCGACGGAAACGAAGGUAGCUUGCUUACAGGCGUCGAGCGGCGGACGGGUGAGUAACGCGUAGGAACCUACCUAGUAGUUUGGGAUAGCCCAGAGAAAUUUGGAUUAAUACCGGAUACGCCCUACGGGGGAAAGUGGAGGAUCUUCGGACUUCACGCUAUUAGAUGGGCCUGCGUAAGAUUAGCUAGUUGGUGAGGUAAUGGCUCACCAAGGCAACGAUCUUUAGCUGGUUUGAGAGGAUGAUCAGCCACACUGGGACUGAGACACGGCCCAGACUCCUACGGGAGGCAGCAGUGGGGAAUAUUGCACAAUGGGCGCAAGCCUGAUGCAGCCAUACCGCGUGUGUGAAGAAGGCUCUAGGGUUGUAAAGCACUUUCAGUAGGGAGGAAAGGUUAUAGUUUAAUACGCUAUAGCUGUGACGUUACCUACAGAAGAAGGACCGGCUAACUCCGUGCCAGCAGCCGCGGUAAUACGGAGGGUCCGAGCGUUAAUCGGAAUUACUGGGCGUAAAGCGCGCGUAGGCGGUUAUUUAAGUCAGAUGUGAAAGCCCUGGGCUCAACCUGGGAACUGCACCUGAUACUGGAUAACUAGAGUACAGAAGAGGGUGGUGGAAUUUCCUGUGUAGCGGUGAAAUGCGUAGAUAUAGGAAGGAACAUCAGUGGCGGGCGACUUACUGGACCAAUAAUGACACUGAGGUACGAAAGCGUGGGUAGCAAACAGGUUUAGAUACCCUGGUAGUCCACGCCGUAAACGAUGUCUACUAGCCGUUGGGGUCCUUGAGACUUUAGUGGCGCAGCUAACGCACUAAGUAGACCGCCUGGGGAGUACGGUCGCAAGAUUAAAACUCAAAUGAAUUGACGGGGGCCCGCACAAGCGGUGGAGCAUGUGGUUUAAUUCGAAGCAACGCGAAGAACCUUACCCGCUCUUGACAUCCACAGAACUUUUGAGAGAUCAAUUGGUGCCUUCGGGAACUGUGAGACAGGUGCUGCAUGGCUGUCGUCAGCUCGUGUUGUGAAAUGUUGGGUUAAGUCCCGUAACGAGCGCAACCCUUGUCCUUAGUUACCAUCAUUUAGUUGGGUACUCAGGCAAGACUGCCGGUGACAAACCGGAGGAAGGUGGGGACGACGUCAAGUCAUCAUGGCCCUUACGAGUAGGGCUACACACGUGCUACAAUGGCCAGUACAAACGGUUGCAAUCCUGCGAGGGGGUGCUAAUCUGAGAAAGCUGGUCGUAGUCCG
RNAcentral lists this ribosomal RNA (1256 nucleotides) under uncultured prokaryote. RNAcentral's name for it is "partial 16S ribosomal RNA". It matches the Rfam family "Bacterial small subunit ribosomal RNA", at positions 43 to 1295 of the family's 1533-position model. The record is from RNAcentral.